Molecule: ribosomal RNA, 484 nt
Filed under: uncultured bacterium
Lineage: Bacteria
Description: partial 16S ribosomal RNA
Rfam family: Bacterial small subunit ribosomal RNA
Source: RNAcentral
AUUGAACGCUGGCGGCAUGCUUUACACAUGCAAGUCGAACGGCAGCGUGGGCUUCGGCCUGGCGGCGAGUGGCGAACGGGUGAGUAAUACCUCGGAACGUGCCCUGACGUGGGGGAUAGCGCGGCGAAAGCCGGAUUACUACUGCAUACGACCAGUGGGUGAAAUUGGGGGAUCUUCGGACCUCUCGCCUUUGGAGCGGCCGAUGGCCGAUGAGCUAGUUGGUGGGGUAAAGGCCUAACAAGGCGAAGAUCGGUAACUGGUCUGAAAGGACGACCCGACAGCUGGGCAGUGAGAAACAGCCCAGACUCCUACGGGGGGAAGCAGUGGGGAAUUUUGGACGAUGGAGGAGUGCCUGAUCCAGCAAUGCCGCGGGUGUGAUGAAGGCGUUCGGGUUGUAGAGUGCUUUUGGCGGGAAGGAAAAAGAAUGCUCUAAUACCGCAGUACAAUGACGGUACCCGCAGAAGAAGCACCGGCUAACUACGUG